CGAAUAAUCUUAAGUAUAUUCACUAAAUAUUUCAACCCUUAUAUAAUUCAUAGCUUAAUCGUAGAAUAAUAAUUGACAUUUAUAUCAAUAUUACUUACCUUAAUCGUAUAUACUCAUAGAAUAAUCGUAAAUAUCAGAUAUCCAGCAGAUCAGAAGA
Diprion similis is the source of this 157-nucleotide long non-coding RNA. RefSeq lists it as uncharacterized. Lineage: Eukaryota; Metazoa; Arthropoda; Insecta; Hymenoptera; Diprionidae. The transcript is spliced from 3 exons. The record is from RefSeq and is a predicted model, not a curated record.